UCGAGAAUUUUUGACAAUGGGGGAAACCCUGAUCGAGCGACGCCGCGUGGAGGAUGAAGGUCUUCGGAUUGUAAACUCCUGUCAUUGGGGAACAAGGUGCAUACGUUAACUGCGUGUGUAUUGAUAGUACCCGAAGAGGAAGGGACGGCUAACUCUGUGCCAGCAGCCGCGGUAAUACAGAGGUCCCAAGCGUUGUUCGGAUUCAUUGGGCGUAAAGGGUGCGUAGGCGGCGCGGUAAGUCGGGUGUGAAAUCUCGGAGCUUAACUCCGAAACUGCAUUCGAUACUGCCGUGCUUGAGGACUGGAGAGGAGACUGGAAUUUACGGUGUAGCGGUGAAAUGCGUAGAUAUCGUAAGGAAGACCAGUGGCGAAGGCGGGUCUCUGGACAGUUCCUGACGCUGAGGCACGAAGGCCAGGGGAGCAAACGG
RNAcentral lists this ribosomal RNA (427 nucleotides) under uncultured bacterium. RNAcentral describes it as "bacterial SSU rRNA". It matches the Rfam family "Bacterial small subunit ribosomal RNA", at positions 355 to 775 of the family's 1533-position model. The record is from RNAcentral.